This 109-nucleotide antisense RNA is filed under the name Lysobacter spongiicola DSM 21749. RNAcentral's name for it is "Xanthomonadaceae sRNA asX1". It matches the Rfam family "Xanthomonadaceae sRNA asX1". The record is from Rfam by way of RNAcentral. Lineage: Bacteria; Pseudomonadati; Pseudomonadota; Gammaproteobacteria; Lysobacterales; Lysobacteraceae.
CACCCAGCGGGGCAGGCGCCAGGCGCCGGUCGGAAUGGAACAGGGCCGACCACGUGCCCGCCGGGGAAGCGCAGGGGCCGAAUGUCGGGGGACGUUCGGCCCCUUUUUU